RNAcentral lists this ribosomal RNA (252 nucleotides) under uncultured bacterium. RNAcentral's name for it is "partial 16S ribosomal RNA". It matches the Rfam family "Bacterial small subunit ribosomal RNA", at positions 524 to 775 of the family's 1533-position model. The record is from RNAcentral.
GACAGAGGGGGCAAGCGUUGCUCGGAAUCACUGGGCGUAAAGGGCGCGUAGGCGGGAUGGCAAGUCGGUCGUGAAAUCCUUCGGCUCAACCGAAGAACGUCGGCCGAUACUGCCGUUCUUGAGGGAUGCAGAGGAGAUUGGAAUUCCCGGUGUAGCGGUGAAAUGUGUAGAGAUCGGGAGGAACACCGAUGGCGAAGGCAGGUCUCUGGGCCACUACUGACGCUGAGAAGCGAAAGCAUGGGGAGCGAACGA